RNAcentral lists this long non-coding RNA (981 nucleotides) under Capsicum annuum. RNAcentral's name for it is "long non-coding RNA (CANN_LNC006730)". Lineage: Eukaryota; Viridiplantae; Streptophyta; Magnoliopsida; Solanales; Solanaceae. The record is from RNAcentral.
GGCAGUGCCCCAAGUAUUUCUGUUUUGUAGUUAGAAUGAGGUCACUAUCGUUACAACCACAGAGGUGGAACCUGCUAUUCCUAUAGAUUUAUUGAGGAUAGCAACUAAUACUAAUUUAUCUCCCACAGCAACUCCAACGAUUACCUAAACACCUUACAUAUUGGGUGAUUUUUUUGUUUUUGCAUUAAAAUAGUGCAUGUAGCCAUUUUAUUAAUGAGAAAAACAAGCCUAUUGAUAAAGCUAUCCUCAAAAGUGGCCUAGCUCAAACCCAAAAAUACCAAACACAUGAAUCUACCAAAUCUCAAGUCCCAAUUAGAAAAAAGAAAAAAUUCUAGAACUUCCUCUAAUCUAGAUGUUAUCGAUUUGUCUUCUCCAACAAUGUGAGUUGUUCCCAUGUCACUCAUCACCAUCUUGAAUCAAGUCAGCAUUCAACUAACAUACUCGGGUAGCUGAAGUACAGAGAUCAGUCAUUGAUGUAUCCUAAAUGUAUCCAUCUGUUAUGACUUGAUUAUUCCACUUUCUCAUAUAAGUAUCAAUCCAUUUUCUUUAUUCUUUCUCAAAUUAGUAGGUUGGCUUAUGCCAAAGCAAAUACCACCACCUAAUCUAAGAAGAAAUUAAGGACAGUGAUGAACCUAUUUUGUACCUUUGAAUCUGCGCUACAGUGAUACACCAACUCAAAUUCAAAGGGUUCCAUUUCUAUUAAGCUGUAGUAGUAUUUGAAUACACAAUCAUCUGAUGCCUCAAGCUCUCACCGUGUGUAUAUCUUUGUAUUAACAGAUUUGUUUCUAACGCGGGGUAUUAUCUUCUCUAUAAAAGCCCCUAAUUUGAAAUUGUGUUCAUCCUAGUUGCACCUCUUACAUGUGUGUUGGAAUGUUGACUUGUUAUGCUAUUUUUAAUAUGUACAUGUUCAACUAUGUCUCCUUAUAUUCUUAGAAGAAACACAAAUUCUACUCUUCUUUAGCUUACUGUUUUAUGAAAAUC